GAUAUUCAACCAGUGAUGAGCUACCCAGAAGUCCCCUUUGGUGAGACUUUAGAACUGAGAUCCCUCUUUCUCCAUCACAUUGUAAUAUACAAAUAAAGCCAAAACCCAGGAAGGGCUAUAAUUUUAGCAAAAGGGACCUAGACAGCUCAGUAAAACAAGAAAAGUAAAGAGACUUAGGCUUAGAAAGUAACAAAACAAUUAUUACUCCCUGAUUAUAUGAUGAACUACAUAGGGCAUCCAAAACAAUCUAUCGUUAAAAUGCGAGUUCAGUAAAGUUGCUGAACAAUAUACAAGUACAAUAUACAAACAGCAAUUUGUUUCCCAUACUAAUUGGUUACUGGUGGCUACAAAAUGUAUUUGUAUAAAAAUUUUUCAUUCACAAAAACAAAAAUCAUAAAGAACCUAAGAAUAAAUCUAACAAAAGAUUUGUGAGAACAAUAUAACUGCCUUGCAGAACAUUAAAGAAUACUUAACCAGAAAUAUAUAUCAUAGGACUCCAAUAAGACAAUUAUCCCCACCGUAGCUUAUAAACUCAAUGAAAUUUCAAUUCCAAUCCCAACAUGGUUUACUGGAUUUUCUUUGAGAUGGGGAUAGAAUUUGACAAGCUGGCUUAAAAUUCAUUAAGAGUGAAGAUUUACAUUAUCAAACUUUAAGACACAUCAAAACUGUUAUAAUUAAUACAAUACGAUAACGACAUGAAAGCAGGCAAAUCAAGUAAGACUAUGGUAUAGAAUAGACUCUAGAAAUGAACUCAUGUAGUAAAUAUAAAACUUUUUAACAAAAUUUAAAAUAACCCACAGAAGAAACAACAAGUGCUGAUGAGUUUCUGGAGGAAAAGGAAUUUUCAUGCACUGUUGGUGGGAAUGCAAACUGGUGCGGCCACUAUGGAAGACAGUAUGGAGGUUCCUAAAAAAGUUAAAAAUAGAAUUGCCCUAUGACCCCGUAAUCACGCUACUGGGUAUUUACCCCCCAAAAAUACAAAAACACUAAUCCAAAAAGAUAUAUAUAUAUCUCUCCCUAUGUUUACAGCAGCAUUAUUUACAACAACCAAAUUAUGGAAGCCGCCAAGGGUCCAUAAAAAAGACUGAAAUCUUGCCAUUUCCAAUGACAUGGAUGGAGCUAGAGGGUACAAUGCUAAGUGAAAUAAAUCAGAGAAAGACAAAUAUCUUAUGAUUUCACUCAUAAUAGGAAUUUAAAAAACAGAACAAGCAAACAAAGGGGGAGAAAAAAAGACAUGCCAAGAAACGGGAAGUAUGUGAGGGGAUGAGUGAAAUGGGAGAUGAAAAUUAAAGAGUUCACUUGUCAUGAUGAGCAGUGGGUAAUGUACAGAAUUGCUGAACUGCUAUUUUAUACACUUGAAACUAAUAAACACUGUAUGGUAACUAUACUGAAAUUAAAAUUUAAAAAAUAAAUUUUAAAAACCCACAAAUAGAAAAAAUACCUAUAAUGCUAAUACCAAAAACAUUAAUAUCCAGAUUAUAAAAAGAAUUGCCAUAAAUCAAUAUAAAAGCCAAUACCUGGCAGGAAAAAAAUUAGCAAAGGACACAGAGAAAAGAUUCACAAAAUAGGAGACGAGAAUGAACAAGACCCACACAAAGAUGUUCAACUUCACCAGUAAUCAAAGUAAUGAAAAGAGUUUAUCUCUCAGAGAGGUAAAAAUCAGUGGCUGGAUAAAACAAAAUCUUCAUUAAUGAAUGGGGAAACAUGCUGGUGGGCACAACAUGCCCACCAGAGGUAGAGUACUACUUCUACUUUGGACUGAACUUGGCAUAUUCAGUAAAAUGAAGUAGCACCUACACCUUGUGAUCCAGCAAUUCUACUCUUGUGUGUCUGUCCUAGAUAAAGUUACACGUUGACUAGGCACUUACUUACAAAGCUAUUCAUUACAGUAUUAUUUGCCAAAGGUAGGCCUUACCUUAGUAUAAAACUGAGUUUUAUUCAACACAGAAUACCAAACAGCAGUUAAAAAGAAUGAACUAAACCUACAUGUGUCAAUAAGAAUACAUCUAGAAAACAAUGUAUGACAAUUUUUCAAGUCAUCUUUUAUGUAAAUGUUUUAUAUGUACAAAAGAACAGAGACAUGAUGCACAAGAACUUCAGGAUAAUGAGUACCUCUGAAGGAGGGAGGAAAGGUUGCGGGCGGCGGGGGGGGGGGGGGGUAGAAUUUUAAAAGUAGAGAAAAAGCAAAGGAGGCAAAAAGUUAACAUCUAUUUGACCUUCAGUCUGGGUACAAAGGUGUUUAUUGCAUUGCUUUCAGUAAGUUUUUGGGUUUUUUUUCAAACUAUUUCAUAAUUUACACAAAUUUUUAAAAGAAAUUGAAAAUAGUAAGCUUGCUGAUUAUGAACAGCAAUUCUAGAGUACAACUGAAAUAACUAGAAAGGGGAAAAAAAGACUUUCGUUAAGGUAAAAAAUUAGAAAAUGUUAUGAAGAUGAUUCAGAAGAUAGUGCACCUGCUGACGAAAAACGGGAUGAGAAACAAGUCUCAGACUUCUUGAGGAAAACAGAAAUUGGGCCUCCUGGCCAGACGAUUUUGUCUCAACAGGACCAAAAUAAAGUAAAUCCAAUUAGUUUAUUAUCUCAGCUCACUUGGCCUGGCAUCAUUGUGAUUCUCAUCAAUUCUGAUCACUAUGCAUUAUGAAAAUGUACUAAACUGAGUCUAAUAGGUGCAAGGCAUUCUGCUACAUAAUACAAGCAACUGAUGGGACGCCUGGGUGGCUCAGGAAUCAAGCAUCUGCCUUUAGCUCAGGGCAUGAUCCCAGGAUCCCGGAUUAAGUCCCACAUUGGGCUCCCUGUGGGGAGCCUGCUUCUCCCUCUACCUAUGUUUCUCCCUCUCUCUACGUCGCUCAUGAAUAAAUAAAAUUUUUUUUUUAAAUAAUACAAGGAACUGAAAGAGAUAUAUUACCAGUUCUCGGGAAACUUAUCAUUUAGUGUGCGAGCUAAGAUCUAUCUGUACAUAAAGAAAAGAAAAAAAAAGCCCUAGCACUUAACACUUGAACAAGUGCUACUAGAACUCAAAGGAAGAAAAGAAUCCAUCAGGUUGCUGGGAUGUACACGAAAGGCUUCACCUACAGCAGUGAAACUAAAGCUGAGUACUGAAGAACAGGAAGCAAUUCAAAUGGUAUAAAAAUUAGCAUUCUAGGUAGAAAAAAAAAAGUGGCAAAGAAAUGUAGAUUCUGAGGACAAAAAUAUAAAGUGUAAAUGCUUGGAAACUUUUGGAUCUUAAUUAGAAAAGUAAAAUACUCUGGGCCUCCUGGGUGGCUCAGUUGGCUGAGCAUCCAAAUCAUGAUUUCAGCUCAGGUGAUCUCAGGGUCAUGGGAUUAGGCCCCAUAGGAGGCUCCAUGCUCAGAGGAAAGUCUGCUUCUCUCCCUCUUCCUCUAUCCCUCCCCUACUUGUGCACACAUGCACUCUCUCGCUCUCUAAAAUAAGUAUAUAAAUCUUAAGAAAAAUAAAACACUCUAACAAUAAGCAAUCUGUAAAUUAGAUUAAUCAAGGUUCUUGGUUGCAAACAACAGAACCUAUUUCAGGAAAUUUCAACAAAAAAGGCAUUUAUUAAAAUAUAUUAGGUGAUUCAAAGAACUCCCCCCAAAAAGCCCAAGAAUCAGGUUGGAGGUAUACAGCCAGGAAAAAUACCUAAGUCUCCCCACCAAACUAUUCCCACCUUUGAGCCCUCCUACCAUGAAAGUGGAGCCUCAAACAAAGGGCUCACUAGGAUGUCUCCCACUGCUGCCUCUAAAAGCUUAAUCUCCUACCUUCUAACAUCCACAUUAGCAAGCAAUUCCAAGUAAGAGCUGUUACCUUGCAAUUCUCUCUUCUGAAUUCAUGUCUUACACAGUUGCUUCCGAUGAAAAGAAGCUAGGUCACAUGCCUGUGUCCUAGCUGUAAGGGAUGCUAGAAAAUUUUAGUUUUGCCUUCUAUAGGGCUCCUAACAUAAAAAUUUCUCCAACACUAAGAAGUUAUUUGAAAUGAGACCAAAUACAGACCAAGCCUUGGCUAUCAAACAACAUACACAUUGAUUCCAAACUUCAAGCUCCAAACAAGGUUCUCAAGCCGGAUAGAUUAUAACUAAACAUUGCACGAAUAAAACUCUUUCUGUUCCUCAAAGGGAGAUAAAAACCAGACUCUUAUUAGUUGUUGCACACAGCUCCAAACAUCAGAAUCUCUGGCUGAUGCUCCUUCCCUUCUGGUUUCUUCUACAACCCAUGGACUAAACUAAAAAGGGGAAUAGAAAUGGAAAAUCAAGUGAAAAUAUUUUUUUAAAUAUAUAAACAAAGAAGGAAAACUUAGGUUUUACAGACCUAAGUCAAUUCUAGGAACCAUGUGAAGAACUACAACUCACUCUUAUAAUAGAUCAAGUCAGACCUUCACUUGUGAGUCCUAAAAUUUUUGUCAUAUAGAUCAAGUAAGACCUUAAUGGGCUACCCAUCUAUUUUAGACCUCGGGAUCCCAUUAUCAUUUAGCUACAGCCACAAAGAAGCAAUCAGGUCAGUGCAUCUCUGAUCAUCAUGCCUGUCAUGCUAACUUAUGCAAAUAAUGCCCACCUAUGAAAGUUAGAGCCACACAAGAAUCUUACCACCUGAAAUCAGAAAAACAUUUCAAUGGUACUAUCUACUCCUACCUACAGACAAUAGCAAUUAUAAUGCAAAAUAAUCACAGAUGCUGGCACGGUCCUCAAAGUAUUUCUCAUUACCUGGGGAAUGAAGUAUCUUCUAGGCCUCUUAAUGGAUAAUGGUGAAGAUGAAAUGAGAUGGUUGAAUGGUUGCAAUGAAACAUCCACUCCAUCAGUCCUAUUAUGUCCCUUAAUCUUCCAACUUCUUCCUCUAUAUUACACCACAAAUUUGUAGGCAUUCAACUUCAUUUAGUAUAGGCCAAUGCUGAGAUCAAUGAAAGGAGUAAUUACAACAUCUUCUAGUUGCUUGAGCUAGAAUCCUGACUAUAGAAUCUCUAGUAAUUGCAACAACAUGCCAAUACACUGAGCCAAAUGCAAAAGCAUGUUUCUCUCAUCAUCAGCAUCCAUUUCUAAACAUAUUACUGAAGCUUUGUGGUAUGUUAGCAAAAAUCUUUUUAUCAGAAUGUUAAUAUAUAAUCCUUUUCUUCCCAUUUUGACUAUGCAAAGGUAUAGCAUGCUAUAAUCUACUCCAGUUACGGAUCUGAAAACAAUGAGGAUUGUGGAAGGGGUAUAACAAAACUGGCUUCCCCUUAAAUGAUAACCAUCAUAAACUAGAUUGUUAAAGGUCCUCAAAUAACACACAGAAAGACAGCUUCUGCCAGCAUGAGAGACUUAAUGACAUUUGGAGACUUAACGUACUAUGUGUCCAUAAUUCCUCAUAUAAGGAAAAUUUAUUUGAAAGAUUAUUAGCAGCCAUAAAUCUGUCAUAUCUCCAAAUAAAGGGGGGGAAGAUAUUUACUACAUUGCUAUUUCAUCUCCAAAAUCUUCUUGAAAUAAUAUAAGAUUAUUCUAAUUGGCUAUUCUAUUAUGUAUUUAGUAUUAAUUGUUACAACUUCUACAUACUAAUAAAGGAGCAUUAUGUACUCAAAUUCAAGAGCAAUAGAAUUUAUGCCUCUAGAGGGCAGCAUUUCUCAUAGGAUACAUAAGUUUGACUUUAAAAAGGAAUUUAAUUGUCCAAAGAAUUUAAGAAAUGCAGGAUAAACAAAAUUUAUCAAGUUUCUUUCUUGUAAGUUGUCUCAAAGUCUCUAAUAUAUUAACAUAAAUCUUCAAAAAGUCAUCAUUAUGGUAUAUGGUGUUUCUCUGAACUUAUUAAUUGCAGAAAUCUUUAUUCAAUAGCCACCUCUAGUGACUACUUCUACAGAAAGCACUUUGGAAACAAUCUUGUAGACAAAUUCGCUCAAGACAAGUUUCACUUCCUUCUUUAUGCAUAAACUAACUCUUCUGACUUUUAAAAUAAGUUUCUAGAUGUCUCCCUAUUUUCACAAAUCAUGACUGAGAAUGGAAUAAAGACUGGCAACAGCAUUUUUGUGGAAAUCAAAAAGAAUAGCUUAGUGCUGGGCUUGCUCAAAGGACAAUGGGGGAAAAAAUUUAAGACUGGUGCUAAAAAAUUUUAAUUUAAUUUAAUUUAAUUUAAUUUAAAAUAAAUAAAAUAAAAUAAAUAAAAAAUAAUAAAAUAAUAAAAUAAA
Molecule: long non-coding RNA, 6132 nt
Filed under: Canis lupus familiaris (dog)
Lineage: Eukaryota; Metazoa; Chordata; Mammalia; Carnivora; Canidae
Description: lncRNA (ENSCAFG00845007397.1)
Source: RNAcentral